This 872-nucleotide small RNA is filed under the name Pan troglodytes (chimpanzee). RNAcentral describes it as "processed transcript". Lineage: Eukaryota; Metazoa; Chordata; Mammalia; Primates; Hominidae. The record is from RNAcentral.
AUUUUGGUGGCCGGGCGCGGAGGUGAUUCCACACUGAAGGGAGCGCGGCGGCCAGGGUGGUAGUGGCAGUGUUCGUGUGCUCAGGUCUGAAUCGCCGAGGGAGGAGGCGGUGGAGGAAGAGGUGGCGGCGGUGGCGGUGGUCGUAGCGGUGGCGGAGGAGGCGGGUACGAAUCAGCUGCGGGCGGAGACAUGGCCAACAUCGCGGUGCAGCGAAUCAAGCGGGAGUUCAAGGAGGUGCUGAAGAGCGAGGAGGAGGAAGAUACCAACUAGAGAUAAAAAUACCAGAAACAUACCCAUUUAAUCCCCCUAAGGUCCGGUUUAUCACUAAAAUAUGGCAUCCUAAUAUUAGUUCCGUCACAGGGGCUAUUUGUUUGGAUAUCCUGAAAGAUCAAUGGGCAGCUGCAAUGACUCUCCGCACGGUAUUAUUGUCAUUGCAAGCACUAUUGGCAGCUGCAGAGCCAGAUGAUCCACAGGAUGCUGUAGUAGCAAAUCAGUACAAACAAAAUCCCGAAAUGUUCAAACAGACAGCUCGACUUUGGGCACAUGUGUAUGCUGGAGCACCAGUUUCUAGUCCAGAAUACACCAAAAAAAUAGAAAACCUAUGUGCUAUGGGCUUUGAUAGGAAUGCAGUAAUAGUGGCCUUGUCUUCAAAAUCAUGGGAUGUAGAGACUGCAACAGAAUUGCUUCUGAGUAACUGAGGCAUAGAGAGCUGCUGAUAUAGUCAAGCUUGCCUCUUCUUGAGGAGCACCAACAUCUGUUAUUUUUAGGAUUCUGCAUAGAUUUCUUUUAAACUGGCAUUCUUGCCUAAUGAUGUUAUCUAGGCACCAUUGGAGACUGAAAAAAAAAAAAUCCCUGCUCUGUAAAUAAAGCUA